This is a non-coding RNA of Cinara cedri, 236 nucleotides long. NCBI's taxonomy places the organism in Eukaryota, Metazoa, Arthropoda, Insecta, Hemiptera, Aphididae. The record is from the annotation of a GenBank genome assembly.
AGUAUCGGCUCUUUUUGUUUUUUUGUUCUGUAUUCCAAUAACAAACAAUAUAUAUUAUUUUUAAUUGUACAGGUUUACCUACAACCGACCGAUAUACGGCUGCAGGUAUACCUACUGUUUAUGCAGACUUAAAAUAAAUUAAAGUUUAUAUUAAUUAUUUGUCUUGGAAACUUUAUCACCCCGCCGCUGUAGAUAUAGACGUAUACGCAAAUUCAAUUUCCACUUGAAAAUAAUCG